This 301-nucleotide ribosomal RNA is filed under the name uncultured bacterium. RNAcentral's name for it is "partial 16S ribosomal RNA". It matches the Rfam family "Bacterial small subunit ribosomal RNA", at positions 509 to 807 of the family's 1533-position model. The record is from RNAcentral.
CAGUAGCCACGGUAAUACGUAGGUGGCAAGCGUUGUCCGGAAUUAUUGGGCGUAAAGGGCUCGCAGGCGGUUUCUUAAGUCUGAUGUGAAAUCCCCCGGCUCAACCGGGGAGGGUCAUUGGAAACUGGGAAACUUGAGUGCAGAAGAGGAGAGUGGAAUUCCACGUGUAGCGGUGAAAUGCGUAGAGAUGUGGAGGAACACCAGUGGCGAAGGCGACUCUCUGGUCUGUAACUGACGCUGAGGAGCGAAAGCGUGGGGGGCGAACAGGAUUAGAUACCCCGGUAGUCCCUGUCUCUUAUAC